UACGGGGGGAGCAAGCGUUGUUCGGAUUUACUGGGCGUAAAGGGCGCGUAGGCGGUCGUGACAAGUCACUUGUGAAAUCUCCGGGCUUAACUCGGAACGGUCAAGUGAUACUGUCGGACUAGAGUACAGAAGGGGCAACUGGAAUUCUCGGUGUAGCGGUGAAAUGCGUAGAUAUCGAGAGGAACACCUGCGGCGAAGGCGGGUUGCUGGGCUGAUACUGACGCUGAGGCGCGAAAACCAGGGGAGCGAACGGG
RNAcentral lists this ribosomal RNA (254 nucleotides) under uncultured bacterium. RNAcentral describes it as "partial 16S ribosomal RNA". It matches the Rfam family "Bacterial small subunit ribosomal RNA", at positions 524 to 776 of the family's 1533-position model. The record is from RNAcentral.